Long non-coding RNA from Eriocheir sinensis (Chinese mitten crab), 959 nucleotides. RefSeq lists it as uncharacterized. Lineage: Eukaryota; Metazoa; Arthropoda; Malacostraca; Decapoda; Varunidae. The transcript is spliced from 2 exons. The record is from RefSeq and is a predicted model, not a curated record.
GCUGGGGGACGAGGAAGGAAGAGGACGUCAGGGAUGAAGGAAAACGGGUAGAGGGAGGUUGAAAGAGGAAGAUGGAGUCCGUGAUGAGGGUCAGGAAGGGGGGAAAACAGGAAUAAAAAGAGUUGUAUGGGCGAGAGAGGAAGAGGGAGUCAAUGAUGAGGGUCAGGGAGGGAGGGAAACAGGAGUAGAAAUGGUUAUAAGGACGAGAAAGGAAGAGGGAAGGGAGAGGACGUAAGGGAGGAAAACAGAAGUAGAAAGGGUUUUAAGGACGAGAAAGGAAGAGGAUGUCAGGGAGGGAGGAUAACAAGAGUAGGAAGGGUUGUAAGGGUGAUAGAGGGAGAGGAGGAGUAAGAAGAGGAAGUCAGUGAGGAGGGUUGGGAGUGUGAAUGGCUAAUGAGAUGAGAGGAGAUAAAGGAAGAUCAAAUAUGGAGGAUAAGAUGAAUGGCUGAAAGGGUGAGAGAGGAGGAAGAGAUAUAGAGGGAUAAAAGAGAGUAGCAGUGACUAAGGGGUAGUACAGAUUAGGAAAUUGGUAGAGAAACGAGUAGGAAUAGAUAUAAGGGAGAAAAGGAGAGUAUGGAGGAAUGACAAGAGGGACUGGCAGCUGAGGAUAAAAAGAGAAACAUGGGGAGAAGAUAAAUUUGGACUGAGAUUUGUGCUUUGCUAGGAAUAUAGUUGAAAGAAGCGAAGGGAGAGUAAGUGAUUGGAACGAAAGUAGAAGUGAAUUUAAAGGAAGAGAAGCAAGAAAAACUGACUGGGACGAAGGUAGGGAUAUAUUAAAGGGAAGAGAAGGAAGGAUUGGUGAGUGGAACGUAUGUAGGAGGAUGUUUAGAGGAAGAGAAAGAAGAGGAAGUGAAAAGGAAAAAAAUGUAAGAGACUAUUAAAAGAAAGAGGAGGUGAGUGGGACGAAGGGAGGAGUGUAUUUAAACGAAGAGAGGGAAAACGAGGUGAGUGGGACGAAG